AAGGGGGGGGCUACCUGCAGUCGACGGUCUCUUCGGAGAUAGUGGCGGACGGGUGAGUAACGCGUGAGGAUCUGGCUUUAGGAGGGGGACAACAGCUGGAAACGGCUGCUAAUACCGCAUAUGCCGAGAGGUGAAAGGAGAAAUCCCCCUGAAGAUGAACUCCCGUCAGAUUAGCUAGUUGGUGAGGUAAGGGCUCACCAAGGCGACCAUCUGUAGCUGGUCUAAAAGGAUGAUCAGCCACACUGGGACUGAAACACGGCCCAAACUCCUACGGGAGGCAGCAGUGGGGAAUUUUCCGCAAUGGGCGAAAGCCUGACGGAACAACCCCCCGUGCGGGAGGAAGGCCUUAGGGUUGUAAACCGCUUUUCUCAGGGAAGAAGUACUGACGGUACCUGAGGAAUAAGCCUCGGCUAACUCCGUGCCAGCAGCCGCGGUAAGACGGAGGAGGCAAGCGUUAUCCGGAAUUAUUGGGCGUAAAGCGUCCGCAGGCGGCUAGUUAAGUCUGCUGUCAAAGCCCGCAGCUCAACUGCGGAUCGGCAGUGGAAACUGAUUAACUAGAGAGCGGUAGGGGUAGAGGGAAUUCCCGGUGUAACGGUGAAAUGCGUAAAUAUCGGGAAGAACACCAGUGGCGAAGGCGCUCUACUGGGCCGUGACUGACGCUGAGGGACGAAAGCUAGGGGAGCGAAAGGGAUUAGAUACCCCUGUAGUCCUAGCUGUAAACGAUGGACACUAGGUGUUGGCCGUAUCGACCCGGUCAGUACCGAAGCUAACGCGUUAAGUGUCCCGCCUGGGGAGUACGCACGCAAGUGUGAAACUCAAAGGAAUUGACGGGGGCCCGCACAAGCGGU
This 848-nucleotide ribosomal RNA is filed under the name uncultured marine bacterium. Its description in RNAcentral is "bacterial SSU rRNA". It matches the Rfam family "Bacterial small subunit ribosomal RNA", at positions 37 to 933 of the family's 1533-position model. The record is from RNAcentral.